UACAGAGGGGGCGAGCGUUGUUCGGAAUUACUGGGCGUAAAGGGCGCGUAGGCGGCCCGCUAAGUCGAACGUGAAAUCCCCAGGCUCAACCUGGGAACUGCGUCCGAUACUGGCAGGCUUGAAUCCGGGAGAGGGAUGUGGAAUUCCAGGUGUAGCGGUGAAAUGCGUAGAUAUCUGGAGGAAUACCGGUGGCGAAGGCGGCAUCCUGGACCGACAUUGACGCUGAGGAGCGAAAGCUAGGGGAGCAAACAGG
RNAcentral lists this ribosomal RNA (253 nucleotides) under uncultured bacterium. RNAcentral's name for it is "partial 16S ribosomal RNA". It matches the Rfam family "Bacterial small subunit ribosomal RNA", at positions 524 to 776 of the family's 1533-position model. The record is from RNAcentral.